GAUGAACGCUGGCGGCGUGCCUAAUACAUGCAAGUCGAGCGAACAGACGCGGCGCUUGCUCCUCUGACGUUAGCGGCGGACGUGUGAGUAACACGUGGAUAACCUACCUAUAAGACUGGUAUAACUUCGGGAAACCGGCGCUAAUACCGUAUAACAUGUUGAACCGCAUGGUUCAACAGUCAAAUACGGUUUUGCUGUCACUUAUCGAUGGAUCCGCGUCGCAUUUGCUAGUUGGUAAGGUACCGGCUUACCAAGGCAACGAUGCGUAGCCGACCUGAGAGGGUGAGAGGCCACACUGGAAGUGAGACACGGUACAGACUCAUACGGGAGGCAGCAGGAGGGAAUCUGCAGCAAUGGGCGAAAGACUGACGGAGCAACGCCGCGUGAGUGAAGAAGGACGUCGGAUCGUAAAACUCUGUUAUUAGGGAAGAACAAAUGUGUAAGUAACUAGGCACGUCUUGAAGGUAAAUAAUCAGAAAACCACGGCUAAAUAAGUG
This 497-nucleotide ribosomal RNA is filed under the name uncultured bacterium. RNAcentral's name for it is "partial 16S ribosomal RNA". It matches the Rfam family "Bacterial small subunit ribosomal RNA", at positions 28 to 507 of the family's 1533-position model. The record is from RNAcentral.